Molecule: long non-coding RNA, 1343 nt
Organism: Oryzias melastigma (Indian medaka)
Lineage: Eukaryota; Metazoa; Chordata; Actinopteri; Beloniformes; Adrianichthyidae
Exons: 2
Source: RefSeq, a predicted model, not a curated record
CCCCGAAAGGGAGGAAGCGGUCAAGAAGAUGGAUGGAUGGAUGGGUGCAUGUCAGUCAUCUACUGUGCGGGAGUGGGAGUCGGUGACUAAAACAAACCGUAGCCUUUACAGCAAACCACUGCGCCCUAAAAACAAUAACCAACCUAUAGGUUCCUUUAUCUCUUCCUGACAGCCCACAAUCUCUAAUCUUUGAGGUUUCUUUUCAGUGUUACCCCUACUUUCCACAUACUGACUAUAAUGACUCAGUACAUGUUCUAAUGUCUCUAAAUCCUCCCCACAUUCACACAGACCUGUCUGAUCUCUGGAAUUCAUUUGUACACUUGUCAGCUUCCCGAGCUUGUUGCAUGUUUUCUUCUGAUGAAGUAGCUGAAGAUACCUGGUCAUCUGACCAAUCACAUCGUUCACUGACCAAUGACAGACAGAAGUCCCUUCAUGAUCCUUCUUGAGCAGAUGAGCAGUAGAGUGGCCCUCGUGUCCAGGAGCGUGUGGGAGGUUUGUGAACUAGACUCGCUGUACACUAGCAGUUCUGCGUCAGCUGCAGGCUCAGGGAACUUUCAGAGUCUCAUCUUUGCAAAGUCUUCCGAGGACAUGCUGGGCUCCAUCGUGAGGGCCGUCCAGAGGGAGGAGGACCGAGGAGUAGGCCUGGGAUUUACCGUCUCAGCAGGAUAGAACAUGGCUCCUCCCUCCGUGUUCCAGCGUCGAAGCGCUCAUGCAUGAAUUCAGGAGCUUCACGGACGUGGUGCAGUCGCAGCGCAACAACAGCCAAUCAGAUCUGCACAAUAAUUAAGACAUUGUUUUCUAACAUCAAGGUCACAGCUUCAGAGCAUGCAUUAUGCAUGUGUGAAACGCCCCUCCCGGCACCCCCCCUCACUGCUGCAGAGCUCACAGCUUUGGGGGGGUGGGGGGUCCAGCAGAUGCACACACUGGUGGUUUGCUUUCAUAGUCUGGCAGAGCAGACUGAAACCACAGCUCUACAGCUGCAGCAGAGCAGCUCACACAUCCAGCGUGGACGCUCAAAGCAUGUCAUCCUCCACCGAUGACAGGCAGGUCUCUGGCUCGGAGCUGCGUCUACUUCAGGGGUGUUCCCUCACAGCUUGAUAAAUGUUUGGGGUUGUCCCAGCGUAAAACCACAGAGCGCCAAAGAGCUCCGGUUGGAUUUUUUCUUCCAUUUUGGCAUAAUUUUCCUUUAAAUACAUGAGAUAAUCCUAAUUUAAAAAGUUUUUAUCGUGGGGUCACAUUUGACUUCCUCAGUGUUCUGCUCGCUGCAUUCCCUGACAUUCUAGGCUGAGCAGAACCAGAAUAUGAAACAAACACAUCUGUUUAAUAAAAACGAGUUCUUCUAA